Small nucleolar RNA from Melanotaenia boesemani (Boeseman's rainbowfish), 128 nucleotides. RefSeq annotates it as small nucleolar RNA SNORA71. NCBI's taxonomy places the organism in Eukaryota, Metazoa, Chordata, Actinopteri, Atheriniformes, Melanotaeniidae. The transcript has a single exon. The record is from RefSeq and is a predicted model, not a curated record.
CCCUGUGACGAAAGUGUGAUUAUGGCGUCUGUGUUGCCAGGUCAUUAAAACUACAGGAAGAUGAAUCUGAGACUUUCCCGUGUUUGAAGGAUGAUCAGUUCCUGUCAGACCCCUUUUUCUCUCAGACA